GACGAACGCUGGCGGCGUGCUUAACACAUGCAAGUCGAACGGAAAGGCCCUGCUUUUGUGGGGUGCUCGAGUGGCGAACGGGUGAGUAACACGUGAGUAACCUGCCCUUGACUUUGGGAUAACUUCAGGAAACUGGGGCUAAUACCGGAUAGGAGCUCCUGCUGCAUGGUGGGGGUUGGAAAGUUUCGGCGGUUGGGGAUGGACUCGCGGCUUAUCAGCUUGUUGGUGGGGUAGUGGCUUACCAAGGCUUUGACGGGUAGCCGGCCUGAGAGGGUGACCGGCCACAUUGGGACAGAGAUACGGCCCAGACUCCUACGGGAGGCAGCAGUGGGGAAUAUUGCACAAUGGGCGGAAGCCUGAUGCAGCAACGCCGCGUGCGGGAUGACGGCCUUCGGGCUGUAAACCGCUUUCGCCUGUGACGAAGCGUGAGUGACGGUAAUGGGUAAAGAAGCACCGGCUAACUACGUG
Molecule: ribosomal RNA, 468 nt
Filed under: uncultured bacterium
Lineage: Bacteria
Description: partial 16S ribosomal RNA
Rfam family: Bacterial small subunit ribosomal RNA
Source: RNAcentral